UGUGACCAAAACGUAGCUCAGGCCUG
RNAcentral lists this non-coding RNA (26 nucleotides) under Mus musculus (house mouse). Lineage: Eukaryota; Metazoa; Chordata; Mammalia; Rodentia; Muridae. The record is from RNAcentral.